GGUCAAUCUGCUGCAUUAUCUCUUGACAGCUCUAAUCUCUUGAAGGGAGAAACCGCAGAGUACAUUCCUGUUGCAAGAAUGCCCGUCUGGAGUCACUCUAGAAAAAAAAUCGCUAGCUGGGCUAAAAGCAGGACAAUCCGUGGUCUAGCACCAGUUAACAGCCUGUCCUCAGGAAGCAGCAGCAGAAGAGGAGACUGCAGUUUCACACUUACUCACUUGGUCUUCCAGGCAUCUGCAAAUUCCUUCUCCUCCCUUUCCUUUUAAUGCAUUUUUUCCUGUCUCUCUGGGGCUCUUAGA
This is a long non-coding RNA of Aquila chrysaetos chrysaetos, 297 nucleotides long. RefSeq lists it as uncharacterized. The transcript has 3 exons. The record is from RefSeq and is a predicted model, not a curated record. Lineage: Eukaryota; Metazoa; Chordata; Aves; Accipitriformes; Accipitridae.